AGUGAACGCUGGCGGUAGGCCCAACACAUGCAAGUCGAACGGCAGCACAGGAGAGCUUGCUCUCUGGGUGGCGAGUGGCGGACGGGUGAGGAAUACAUCGGAAUCUACUUUUUCGUGGGGGAUAACGUAGGGAAACUUACGCUAAUACCGCAUGCGACCUACGGGUGAAAGCAGGGGACCUUCGGGCCUUGCGCGAUUGAAUGAGCCGAGGUCGGAUUAGCUAGUUGGCGGGGUAAAGGCCCACCAAGGCGACGAUCCGGAGCUGGUCUGAGAGGAUGAUCAGCCACACUGGAACUGAGACACGGUCCAGACUCCUACGGGAGGCAGCAGUGGGGAAUAUUGGACAAUGGGCGCAAGCCUGAUCCAGCCAAACCGCGUGGGUGAAGAAGGCCUUCGGGUUGUAAAGCCCUUUUGUUGGGAAAGAAAUCCAGCUGGCUAAUACCCGGUUGGGAUGACGGUACCCAAAGAAUAAGCACCGGCUAACUUCGUGCCAGCAGCCGCCGUAA
This 506-nucleotide ribosomal RNA is filed under the name uncultured bacterium. RNAcentral describes it as "partial 16S ribosomal RNA". It matches the Rfam family "Bacterial small subunit ribosomal RNA", at positions 29 to 523 of the family's 1533-position model. The record is from RNAcentral.